This 406-nucleotide ribosomal RNA is filed under the name uncultured bacterium. Its description in RNAcentral is "bacterial SSU rRNA". It matches the Rfam family "Bacterial small subunit ribosomal RNA", at positions 355 to 773 of the family's 1533-position model. The record is from RNAcentral.
UGGGGAAUAUUGCACAAUGGGCGGAAGCCUGAUGCAGCGACGCCGCGUGAGGGAUGACGGCCUUCGGGUUGUAAACCUCUUUCGACAGGGACGAAGCGUGAGUGACGGUACCUGGAGAAGAAGCGACGGCUAACUACGUGCCAGCAGCCGCGGUAAGACGUAGGGCGCGAGCGUUGUCCGGAUUUAUUGGGCGUAAAGAGCUCGUAGGCGGCUCGUUGCGUCGGCUGUGAAAACCCGCAGCUCAACUGUGGGCUUGCAGCCGAUACGGGCGGGCUUGGAUUCGGUAGGGGAGACUGGAAUUCCUGGUGUAGCGGUGAAAUGCGCAGAUAUCAGGAGGAACACCGGUGGCGAAGGCGGGUCUCUGGGCCGAUAUCGACGCUGAGGAGCGAAAGCGUGGGGAGCGAAC